UGCCAAGGGCCCUUACACUGCAGCAGAACACAGCCCCAGCCAACCUCAGCCGCACGACUGUGGCCCACCGGCCGCCACACUUCCACCGUGCGGCCCACCAAAGCCCCCUGCGGGGCGACACGCGCCCGACAAAAAGACAUAACACAAAACCAAAGAAACUCACAACGACCACCUGUUCAGACUCUCGCGAGGCGACCCCUACCUCCUGAACCCCGGGAGAUCCCCGACUGAGCCCCCUUGCGACAAGCGCCGCCCCUCCUGAGCAGUGAUUUUUUUUUCAUUUAGGGGG
This 289-nucleotide long non-coding RNA is filed under the name Volvox carteri. RNAcentral's name for it is "long non-coding RNA (VCAR_LNC001641)". The record is from RNAcentral. Lineage: Eukaryota; Viridiplantae; Chlorophyta; Chlorophyceae; Chlamydomonadales; Volvocaceae.